GACGAACGCUGGCGGCGUGCUUAACACAUGCAAGUCGAACGGAAAGGCCCUGCUUUUGUGGGGUGCUCGAGGGGCGAACGGGUGAGUAACACUUGAGUAACCUGCCCUUGACUUUGGGAUAACGUCAAGAAACUGGGGCUAAUACCGGAUAGGAGCUCCUGCUGCAUUGUGGGGGUUGGAAAGUUUCGGCGGAUGGGGAUGUACUCGCGGCUUAUCAGCUUGUUGGUGGGGUAGUGGCUUACCAAGGCUUUGACGGGUAGCCGGCCUGAGAGGGUGACCGGCCACAUUGGGACUGAGAUACGGCCCAGACUCCUACGGGAGGCAGAAGUGGGGAAUAUUGCACAAUGGGCGGAAGCCUGAUGAAGCAACGCCGUGUGAGGGAUGACGGCCUUCGGGUUGUAAACCGCUUUCGCAUGUGCCGAAGCGUGAGUGACGGUAAUGGGUAAAGAAGCACCGGCUAACUACGUG
RNAcentral lists this ribosomal RNA (468 nucleotides) under uncultured bacterium. RNAcentral describes it as "partial 16S ribosomal RNA". It matches the Rfam family "Bacterial small subunit ribosomal RNA", at positions 28 to 507 of the family's 1533-position model. The record is from RNAcentral.